AUCUACGGCCAUGCCACCCUGAACAUGCCCGAUCUCAUCUGAUCUCGGAAGCUAAGCAGGAUUGGGCCUGGUUAAUACUUGGAUGGGAGACCACCUAAGAAGACCAGGUGCUGUAGGCA
RNAcentral lists this ribosomal RNA (119 nucleotides) under Pteropus alecto (black flying fox). The record is from RNAcentral. Lineage: Eukaryota; Metazoa; Chordata; Mammalia; Chiroptera; Pteropodidae.